UGGGGAAUAUUGCACAAUGGGCGCAAGCCUGAUGCAGCCAUGCCGCGUGUGUGAAGAAGGCCUUCGGGUUGUAAAGCACUUUCAGCGAGGAGGAAGGUGGUGAACUUAAUACGUUCAUCAAUUGACGUUACUCGCAGAAGAAGCACCGGCUAACUCCGUGCCAGCAGCCGCGGUAAUACGGAGGGUGCAAGCGUUAAUCGGAAUUACUGGGCGUAAAGCGCACGCAGGCGGUUUGUUAAGUCAGAUGUGAAAUCCCCGGGCUCAACCUGGGAACUGCAUUUGAAACUGGCAAGCUAGAGUCUCGUAGAGGGGGGUAGAAUUCCAGGUGUAGCGGUGAAAUGCGUAGAGAUCUGGAGGAAUACCGGUGGCGAAGACGGCCCCCCUGGACGAAGACUGACGCUCAGGUGCGAAAAGGCGUGGGGGCAGCAAACAGGAUUAGAUACCCCUGGUAGGUCCACGCUGUAAAACGAUGUCGAUUUUGGAGGUUGUGCCCCUUGAGGCGUGG
Molecule: ribosomal RNA, 505 nt
Filed under: uncultured bacterium
Lineage: Bacteria
Description: partial 16S ribosomal RNA
Rfam family: Bacterial small subunit ribosomal RNA
Source: RNAcentral